RNAcentral lists this long non-coding RNA (367 nucleotides) under Papio anubis (olive baboon). Its description in RNAcentral is "lncRNA (ENSPANG00000045456.1)". Lineage: Eukaryota; Metazoa; Chordata; Mammalia; Primates; Cercopithecidae. The record is from RNAcentral.
AUGAGAAGGGGAACUGGAAUUGUGCUCAUGGUUUUUUUUUUUUUUUUUUUUUUGAGACGGAGUCUCGCUCUGUCGCCCAGGCUAGAGUGCAGUGGCCGGAUCUCAGCUCACUGCAAGCUCCGCCUCCUGGGUUCACGCCAUUCUCCGGCCUCAGCCUCCCGAGUAGCUGGGACUACAGGCGCCUGUAGUCCCAGCUACUCGGGAGGCUGAGGUGGGUGGAUCACCUGAGGUCAGGAGUUUGAGACCAGCCUGACCAACAUAGAGAAACCCCGUUUCUAGUAAAAAUACAAAAUUAGCUGAGUGUGGUGGCACAUGCCUGUAAUCCCAGCUACUUGGGAGGCUGAGGCAAGAUAAUUGCUUGAACCCG